ACGGGAAAAGGGAAAAGGGACGUUAGUGGCGGACGGGUGAGUAACGCGUGGGUAACCGUGGCCCAUACAGGGGGAGUAACACUUAGAAAUAGGUGCUAAUACCGCAUAACAACAGAAAGCGCAUGCUUUUUGUUUGAAAACCAAGGUGGUAUGGGAUGGACCCGCGUCUGAUUAGCUGGUUGGCGGGGUAAAGGCCCACCAAGGCGACGAUCAGUAGCCGGCCUGAGAGGGUGGACGGCCACAUUGGGACUGAGACACGGCCCAAACUCCUACGGAAGGCAGCAG
This 285-nucleotide ribosomal RNA is filed under the name uncultured bacterium. Its description in RNAcentral is "partial 16S ribosomal RNA". It matches the Rfam family "Bacterial small subunit ribosomal RNA", at positions 66 to 354 of the family's 1533-position model. The record is from RNAcentral.